UACAGAGGUCUCAAGCGUUGUUCGGAUUCAUUGGGCGUAAAGGGUGCGUAGGCGGCGCGGUAAGUCGGGUGUGAAAUCUCGGAGCUUAACUCCGAAACUGCAUUUGAUACUGGUGUGCUUGAGGACUGGAGAGGAGACUGGAAUUCAUGGUGUAGCAGUGAAAUGCGUAGAGAUCAGGAGGAAGACCAGUGGCGAAGGCGGGUCUCUGGACAGUUCCUGACACUGAGGCACGAAGGCCAGGGGAGCAAACGGG
This 253-nucleotide ribosomal RNA is filed under the name uncultured bacterium. Its description in RNAcentral is "partial 16S ribosomal RNA". It matches the Rfam family "Bacterial small subunit ribosomal RNA", at positions 524 to 776 of the family's 1533-position model. The record is from RNAcentral.